UGGGGAGUACGCACGCAAGUGUGAAACUCAAAGGAAUUGACGGGGGCCCGCACAAGCGGUGGAACAUGUGGUUUAAUUCGGAGCAACGCGAAGAACCUUACCAGGGCUUGACAUCUACAGAAUCUUGCGGAAACGUGAGAGUGCCUUUCGGGGAACUGUAAGACAGGUGGUGCACGGUUGUCGUCAGCUCGUGUCGUGAGAUGUUGGGUUAAGUCCCGCAACGAGCGCAACCCUUGUUGUUAGUUGCUGGCAAGAGCAUGCUCUUGUCGAGCUCUCUAGCGAAACUGCCGGUGAUAAACCGGAGGAAGGUGGGGACGACGUCAAAUCAUCAUGCCCCUUAUGCUCUGGGCUACACACGUGUUACAAUGGGUGGGACAGCGAGCAGCAAGCCGGCGACGGCAAGCAAAUCUCUUAAACCCAUCCUCAGUUCGGAUCGAAGUCUGCAACUCGACUUCGUGAAGUCGGAAUCGCUAGUAACCGCAGAUCAGCAUGCUGCGGUGAAUACGUUCCCGGGCCUUGUACACACCGCCCGUCACACCAUGGAAGCUGACCACGCCCGAAGCCGGUAAGUUAACCCUCGGGAAUCAGCCGUCUAAGGCA
This 600-nucleotide ribosomal RNA is filed under the name uncultured bacterium. Its description in RNAcentral is "bacterial SSU rRNA". It matches the Rfam family "Bacterial small subunit ribosomal RNA", at positions 874 to 1464 of the family's 1533-position model. The record is from RNAcentral.